Molecule: long non-coding RNA, 659 nt
Organism: Bombyx mori (domestic silkworm)
Lineage: Eukaryota; Metazoa; Arthropoda; Insecta; Lepidoptera; Bombycidae
Exons: 3
Source: RefSeq, a predicted model, not a curated record
CUACACUUUAGACAAACAAUAUUAAUCUAUUCUCAAUUUGACCACAGACAAUAAGACAGCAAUAAGAAAAGUUUGACAAUAAGCAAAUAGUAUGAAUCAUAGAUUAUACACUUAAUAUAUUGUAUGAAUGCGUGUAUGUGUCAAAUACAUGGACGUGUUUGUAAUGUUUUUUUAUUGAUUUAUUGUAUCUUUUAUGCAUAAUUAAAUAAAAUACUCUCCUUCUCUAUAUUCUCUAUAAGUGUGGGAUAUUCCAUACUCCUCCGUCCGCGCAAUUUUCGUUAAAAGGGGUACAAAGUUUUUGCUUCACUUAUUAAUAUAUAGAUUAUAAUCGAGCCAAUAAAAAUGCAUCCUGUAAUGAAAUCCACAAAGAAGAUUUAUCGCGAUUCAAGCAACCCAAAGGAAAAAGGUUCUGUUACCGAACGAGGGUUGGUGCCGUGCCGGAUCAGAAUCCGGACGAAGCACCGCGCUGUACCGGAAGUCACGGCGCGCGCCGGAUAUGAAGUACAAAUUCCUGAUAUCCGCCUCUCGCACGUUUAUGUUUAUUUACCAGUAAACAAAUAAAUUGUAGUUAAAAGUAUUGUUACGGUAAGAAUAACGCCAUCGAUCGUUGAAGAAACGAAUGUCAAAACAACUAGUAAUACCGAGAACGCUCGUGAAGU